This 103-nucleotide microRNA precursor is filed under the name Marmota monax (woodchuck). Lineage: Eukaryota; Metazoa; Chordata; Mammalia; Rodentia; Sciuridae. The record is from RNAcentral.
AGUAAGAUAGCUGGGUCAAAUGGUGGUUCCAUUCCAAAUUUUCUAAGUAAUCUCCAUACUGCUUCCCAGAUUGGUUGUAUCAAUUUGCAGUCCCACCAGCAAU